This is an RNA transcript of Gossypium raimondii (Peruvian cotton), 4191 nucleotides long. It is a transcript of the gene named coatomer subunit alpha-1, with no coding region annotated. The transcript is spliced from 4 exons. The record is from RefSeq and is a predicted model, not a curated record. NCBI's taxonomy places the organism in Eukaryota, Viridiplantae, Streptophyta, Magnoliopsida, Malvales, Malvaceae.
CUAGAUUUCCAGGCUCAGAUCUUAAAAUCAAAAUUUCUUAAAGAGAGGAUCAAAAACUCUCUGUUUCCCUUUCAUUUAAACCCAAAUUCAAUUUCUUCUCAUUUUUGUUCUUAAUUUUAAAUGCUGGAUCAGAUCUGAGAGUAUUGAACGUUGGAGAUAAAGAUAAAAAAUGUUGACAAAGUUCGAGACGAAGAGCAAUAGAGUGAAGGGACUAAGUUUCCACACUAAGAGGCCAUGGAUCUUAGCUAGUCUCCACAGCGGCGUUAUCCAGUUAUGGGACUAUCGAAUGGGGACUUUGAUUGAUCGAUUUGACGAACACGAUGGCCCUGUUCGUGGCGUUCAUUUUCACAUGUCUCAGCCUUUGUUUGUCUCUGGAGGGGAUGACUACAAGAUAAAGGUCUGGAACUACAAGUUGCAUAGAUGUCUUUUUACCCUUCUUGGACAUCUUGAUUAUAUUCGUACUGUGCAAUUUCAUCAUGAACAUCCAUGGAUUGUGAGUGCCAGUGAUGAUCAAACCAUUCGCAUAUGGAACUGGCAGUCUCGAACUUGCAUCUCUGUGUUGACUGGUCAUAAUCAUUAUGUUAUGUGCGCCUCAUUCCAUCCUAAAGAAGACCUGGUUGUGUCAGCCUCCCUUGAUCAGACUGUUCGAGUUUGGGAUAUUGGUUCCUUGAAAAAAAAGGGUGCCUCCCCAGCAGAUGACAUUUUACGGUUGAGUCAGAUGAACACAGAUCUUUUUGGUGGUGUUGAUGCAGUUGUCAAGUAUGUGUUGGAAGGACAUGACCGAGGAGUAAAUUGGGCUGCAUUUCAUCCAACCUUGCCUUUGAUAGUCUCUGGUGCCGAUGACCGCCAAGUGAAAUUGUGGCGUAUGAAUGAUACCAAGGCUUGGGAAGUGGAUACCUUGAGAGGACACAUGAAUAAUGUGUCAUGUGUCAUGUUCCAUGCCAAACAAGACAUCAUUGUAUCCAAUUCCGAGGAUAAAAGUAUUCGAGUGUGGGAUGCAACAAAGCGAACUGGACUUCAAACUUUCCGUCGAGAACAUGACAGGUUCUGGAUUCUUGCAGCCCAUCCUGAGAUUAAUCUUUUGGCAGCUGGACAUGACAGUGGCAUGAUUGUAUUUAAGCUAGAGAGAGAACGGCCUGCUUUUGCAGUUAGUGGGGAUUCUCUGUUUUAUGCCAAGGAUCGAUUCUUAAGGUAUUAUGACUUUUCAACACAAAAAGAGACACAAAUAGUUCCUAUCCGGCGGCCCGGUUCCACAACCUUGAAUCAAUGUCCAAGGACUCUUUCUUAUAGUCCCACAGAAAAUGCCGUCCUUAUCUGCUCAGAUGUUGAUGGAGGAACUUAUGAGUUGUAUCAGAUACCAAAAGACAGCAUUGGUAGGAGUGACUUGCAGGAGGCAAAGAGAGGUCCUGGUAGUUCUGCCAUAUUUGUGGCUCGGAACCGUUUUGCUGUACUCGACAAAAGCAACAACCAAGUCUUAAUCAAGAAUCUUAAAAAUGAGGUUGUUAAAAAAAGCGGUCUUCCAGUGCCUACAGAUGCAAUUUUCUAUGCUGGAACAGGUAAUUUAUUGUGUAGAUCAGACGAUAGAGUGGUUGUAUUUGAUCUCCAGCAGAGACUUGUUCUUGGUGAUCUACAAACGCCUUUUGUGAAGUAUGUUGUUUGGUCUAGUGACAUGGAGAGUGUUGCUUUGCUCAGCAAGCAUUCCAUUAUCAUUACUAGCAAGAAACUUGUGCACCAGUGCACUUUUCAUGAGACAAUACGAGUUAAGAGUGGAGCCUGGGAUGAAAAUGGUGUUUUUAUUUACACCACUCUAAACCAUAUAAAAUACUGCCUACCCAAUGGAGAUAGUGGAAUAAUUGAACUCUUGAUGUUCCAAUAUACCUAACUAAGGUUUCUGGAAACAAAAUAUUUUGCCUGGACCGUGAUGGGAAGAACAAGACGCUGGUCAUUGAUGCUACAGAAUACAUUUUUAAGCUGUCUCUGCUUCGGAAGAGGUAUGAUCAUGUUAUGAGCAUGAUAAGAAACUCCCAGCUUUGUGGUGAGGCCGUGAUUGCUUAUCUACAACAGAAGGGGUUCCCUGAAGUGGCUCUCCAUUUUGUCAAAGAUGAGAAAACUCGGUUUAACUUGGCUAUAGAGAGUGGGAACAUUCAAAUUGCUGUUGCAUCAGCUAAGGAGAUUGAUGACAAGGAUCAUUGGUAUAGGUUGGGUGUGGAAGCCCUUCGCCAAGGCAAUGCAGGUAUAGUUGAAUAUGCCUACCAGAGGACAAAGAACUUUGAGAGGUUGUCGUUUCUUUAUCUCAUAAAUGGUAACCUGGAAAAGCUGUCCAAGAUGCUGAAGAUUGCAGAAGUCAAGAACGACGUUAUGGGCCAGUUUCACAAUGCUUUGUAUCUUGGCGAUAUCCAAGAACGUGUAAAGAUCUUGGAGAAUGCUGGUCAUUUGCCUCUUGCUUAUGUUACAGCAUCAGUCCAUGGUCUACAUGAUGUUGCGGAAAGGUUAGCUGCUGAGUUGGGAGAUGAUGUCCCUUCUUUGCCGGAAGGGAAAAAACCUUCCUUAUUGAUGCCUCCGGCACCCGUUAUUUGUGGUGGUGAUUGGCCCCUGUUGAGAGUAAUGAAAGGUAUAUUUGAAGGUGGAUUCGAUAGUACUGGCAGGGGUGUGGUGGAUGAAGAGGAGGAGGGUGCAGAUGGUGAUUGGGGUGAAGAUCUUGAUAUGGUUGAUGCUGAUGGCUUGCAGAACGGAGAUGUUACUGCAAUUUUGGAGGAUGGGGAAGUGGCUGAAGACAAUGAAGAGGGUGGAUGGGACCUUGAAGACUUGGAACUCCCUCCUGAGGUAGAGACACCAAGGGUUAAUGCUCGUUCUUCUGUUUUCGUGGCACCAACUCCUGGCAUGCCUGUGAGUCAAAUUUGGACUCAGAGAUCGUCACUUGCUGCUGAUCAUGCGGCCGCUGGCAAUUUUGAUACAGCCAUGCGUUUGCUAAGCAGGCAACUUGGAAUAAGAAACUUUACUCCUUUAAAAUCCAUGUUUCUUGAUCUUCACACUGGCAGCCAUAGCUAUCUUCGUGCAUUUUCAUCUGCGCCAGUGGUGUCCUUGGCAGUUGAGAGGGGAUGGAGUGAGUCUUCUAGUCCUAAUGUGAGGGGUCCACCUGCUCUCAUAUUCAACUUUUCUCAGCUGGACGAAAAGCUGAAGGCUGGGUACAAGGCCACAACAGAUGGAAAAUUUACCGAGGCUCUUCGGCUUUUUCUCAACAUUCUUCAUACAAUUCCAUUGAUUGUUGUGGAGUCAAGGAGGGAAGUUGAUGAAGUCAAAGAGUUAAUUAUCAUCGCCAAGGAGUAUGUUCUUGGUCUGCAGAUGGAGCUUAAGCGUAGAGAAUUGAAAGACAAUCCGGUACGCCAGCAGGAGCUUGCUGCCUACUUCACCCAUUGCAACCUUCAAAUACCUCAUCUCAGACUUGCUCUGCGAAAUGCAAUGACCAUCUGUUUCAAGGCGAAAAACCUGGCUACAGCCGCUGACUUUGCCAGGCGUCUUCUAGAAACAAACCCUAACGAGAACCAUUCAAAGGCAGCGAGGCAAGUACUCCAGGCUUCAGAGAGGAAUAUGACAGAUGCAUCUCAGUUAAACUACGAUUUCAGGAACCCUUUUGUGACAUGCGGGGCAACUUACGUCCCAAUUUACCGAGGACAGAAAGAUGUAUCUUGCCCUUACUGUACUACUCGCUUUGUGCCUACCCAGGAAGGUCAAUUGUGUACAAUCUGUGAUCUCGCUGUCAUUGGAGCAGACGCAUCAGGUUUGCUCUGUUCUCCUUCUCAAAUUCGAUGAUUAAGCUCUGCAUACUCGAGGCAUGUUUCCUUCAAUCUUGCUCAACCUUUGAGCAGCCAGCCGAACCAAUCACAUCGAUCGAAUUCUUAUCCACAGGUAAAAAGGUAUGUGCUUGAUGAAAUCUCUGAUCUCAAGUUCAUUACUUUUCACCAUUUACUUUUAUUUGCCUUUUGUUUUCAUUAUAAUAUUCACAUGUAUUUUAAACAAGUUGGGAAUUUUGGAUUUUUGGCUAUUCUUUUUUCUUUCAUGGGCUGAAAAUAGUCAUAGGGCCCUGUUUAAAAUAGAUAAUAAUGGUCAUAUCUCAUAUGUAGGACAAUUACAUGACAUUGUGUGUCAAAUUUGCUUACUUCCCUUUGGUACCUCUUUUUUUUCUAGUUUCCA